AGCAGCCGCGGUAAUUCCAGCUCCAAUAGCGUAUAUUAAAGUUGUUGCAGUUAAAAAGCUCGUAGUUGAAUUUCGGGGUUAGUAGGUUGGUCAUGCCUCUGGUAUGUACUGGUCUCACUGAUUCCUCCUUCCUGAUGAACCGUAAUGCCAUUAAUUUGGUGUUGCGGGGAAUUUGGACUGUUACUUUGAAAAAUUAGAGUGUUUAAAGCAGGCGCACGCUUGAAUACAUUAGCAUGGAAUAAUGAAAUAGGACGUUUGAUUCUAUUUUGUUGGUUUCUAGGAUCGACGUAAUGAUUAAUAGGGAUAGUUGGGGGCAUUAGUAUUCAAUUGUCAGAGGUGAAAUUCUUGGAUUUAUUGAAGACUAACUACUGCGAAAGCAUUUGCCAAGGGUGUUUUCAUUAAUCAAGAACGAAAGUUAGGGGAUCGAAGACGAUCAGAUACCGUCGUAGUCUUAACCAUAAACUAUGCCGACUAGGGAUCGGACGAUGUUAAUUUUUAAUGACUCAUUCGGCGCCUUACG
Molecule: ribosomal RNA, 520 nt
Filed under: uncultured Glomus
Lineage: Eukaryota; Fungi; Glomeromycota; Glomeromycetes; Glomerales; Glomeraceae
Description: SSU rRNA
Rfam family: Eukaryotic small subunit ribosomal RNA
Source: RNAcentral